GAUGAACGCUGGCGGCGUGCUUAACACAUGCAAGUCGAACGAUGAAGCCCAGCUUGCUGGGUGGAUUAGUGGCGAACGGGUGAGUAACACGUGAGUAACCUGCCCUUAACUCUGGGAUAAGCCUGGGAAACUGGGUCUAAUACCGGAUAGGAGCGUCCACCGCAUGGUGGGUGUUGGAAAGAUUUAUCGUUUUUGGAUGGACUCGCGGCCUAUCAGCUUGUUGGUGAGGUAAUGGCUCACCAAGGCGACGACGCGUAGCCGGCCUGAGAGGGUGACCGGCCACACUGGGACUGAGACACGGCACAGACUCCUACGGGAGGCAGCAGUGGGGAAUAGUGCACAAUGGGCGCAAGCCUGAUGCAGCGACGCCGCGUGAGGGAUGACGUCCUUCGGGUUGUAAACCUCUUUCAGUAGGGAAGAAGCGAAAGUGACGGUACCUGCAGAAGAAGCACCGGCUAACUACGUG
This 466-nucleotide ribosomal RNA is filed under the name uncultured bacterium. RNAcentral describes it as "partial 16S ribosomal RNA". It matches the Rfam family "Bacterial small subunit ribosomal RNA", at positions 28 to 507 of the family's 1533-position model. The record is from RNAcentral.